Molecule: long non-coding RNA, 624 nt
Filed under: Mytilus galloprovincialis (Mediterranean mussel)
Lineage: Eukaryota; Metazoa; Mollusca; Bivalvia; Mytilida; Mytilidae
Source: RNAcentral
CGACCGUUACUUAUAACUUUCCAUUUUGAACUAUCAGGUGCAUGUAUAAUAUACAUUUUUGUCUUGCGUGUCCGAAAGUGAUAUAAUAUACUAGUCAUUACUGAACUCAUACGCUUGUUUAUAAAUAACAUUUCUGGUGUAAAGAAUAUUAUUUAUAAAAAAAAAAUAAUACAAAAAAAAAUAAUUGAAGAAAUACAAAUCUAUUUACAUAUUUUUCCAAGGGUUAAUUUGGGAAAAUGUAAUAUAUACUCGUUGUCAAUAGUUUAGGACAGAUUGGAACAUACCAGAAUUAUUGAUCUAAAAAAAUGUGCGCACUUGUCGACGAUUCGUGUAUACAUACGCCUGGUAGAAAGUUACGGAACUAUAGUCAGUAGCGCAAUUUAAAAUAUGUAUACAUGUAUACAUUGAACAUAAGAAAGAAACAUACAUUUUGUGUAAAUUGUGGUAAAAGUUUUGUAAAUAGACUAGUCCACGUAUGCCAACAGUAUGUAAUCAACGAAUUCGAUAGACUAUUGUAUAUACCAAAAGAAGAAGAAGAAAAAAAAGAAACAAUUUGAUUUAAAUACAGGUCAAUUUAUAACUUGCUUUGGUUCAUCGAAGUUAAGAACAUAGUAAACUCACAGA